This 459-nucleotide ribosomal RNA is filed under the name uncultured bacterium. RNAcentral describes it as "partial 16S ribosomal RNA". It matches the Rfam family "Bacterial small subunit ribosomal RNA", at positions 338 to 795 of the family's 1533-position model. The record is from RNAcentral.
CCUACGGGAGGCAGCAGUGAGGAAUAUUGGUCAAUGGGCGAGAGCCUGAACCAGCCAAGUCGCGUGAGGGAAGACGGUCCUAUGGAUUGUAAACCUCUUUUGCCGGGGAGCAAAACGCGGUACGCGUACCGCAUCGAGAGUACCCGGAGAAAAAGCAUCGGCUAACUCCGUGCCAGCAGCCGCGGUAAUACGGAGGAUGCGAGCGUUAUCCGGAUUUAUUGGGUUUAAAGGGUGCGCAGGCGGCGAGUUAAGUCAGCGGUAAAAUUUCGGGGCUCAACCCCGACAAGCCGUUGAAACUGGCGUGCUAGAGUGGGCGAGAAGUAUGCGGAAUGCGUGGUGUAGCGGUGAAAUGCAUAGAUAUCACGCAGAACUCCGAUUGCGAAGGCAGCAUACCGGCGCCCAACUGACGCUCAGGCACGAAAGCGUGGGUAUCGAACAGGAUUAGAUACCCGAGUAGUC